This 396-nucleotide ribosomal RNA is filed under the name uncultured bacterium. Its description in RNAcentral is "partial 16S ribosomal RNA". It matches the Rfam family "Bacterial small subunit ribosomal RNA", at positions 523 to 917 of the family's 1533-position model. The record is from RNAcentral.
AUACGUAGGGGGCGAGCGUUGUCCGGAAUGAUUGGGCGUAAAGGGCGCGUAGGCGGCCCGGUAAGUCUGGAGUGAAAGUCCUGUUUUUAAGAUGGGAAUUGCUUUGGAUACUGUCGGGCUCGGGUGCAGGAGAGGUAAGUGGAAUUCCCAGUGUAGAGGUGAAAUGCGGAGAGAUUGGGAGGAACACCAGUGGCGAAGGCGACUUACUGGACUGUAACUGACGCUGAGGCGCGAAAGUGUGGGGAGCAAACAGGAUUAGAUACCCUGGUAGUCCACACUGUAAACGAUGAAUGCUAGGUGUAGGGGGCAUCGACCCCUUUUGUGCCGGAGUCAACACAAUAAGCAUUCCGCCUGGGGAGUACGGCCGCAAGGUUGAAACUCAAAUGAAUUGACGGG